Molecule: long non-coding RNA, 674 nt
Organism: Nanorana parkeri
Lineage: Eukaryota; Metazoa; Chordata; Amphibia; Anura; Dicroglossidae
Exons: 2
Source: RefSeq, a predicted model, not a curated record
UGCCGAAACCCAUCGCCAUAGAACCGUGCUGCGGGAACAAGGCCGCCGUCCUGACCGUCUUCCUCUGCUUGCCCAGAGGGAUCAGCGGGGUUCCUCCGCCGGGCCAAUCAGGUCUGGCAAUCGCAAGCGCAUUGAUAGACAUAUCCCAACACAAGUCAUUGGACUGUAAGGAUAAAAGCUCAUGUGUGCGAAAUCGGAAGCCGCACCCGCCGACCAGACAAGGGACUUGUGUCUGAAACCGCCAAAAAAAAAGAGAAGCCAGGAUGGAUUUUGACAGUCGUCGAUUUUCUUUUUUUUAAUUUUGUCGUCGUUGUUUUCUUUAACCUAAAAAAAACCGGCUUCCACUGAAAAGGUCCGCUGCCACCGGCCUUCCCCUGACGUGGGCCCACCAGCUCUCGCCAUCAGGACCUUCCAGGGUCAGCGGGGAGGACACCCGUGCGUGUGUCCCGGGUGGAGGAAGCGCCGGAGUUGGGCCAUCUUGGAACGACUCGAGAGAGAGCUGCCGAAACGUUCAGAUAAAAAAAAAGGACAAAAUAUAAUUCUGUGUAAAUAUAUUGUGAACGUCCACGGAAGGUGGAAUGUGAGUUUGCAGCAUGUCCGUAGCCAGUAACGAGGAGAGGGUAGAUAUUAAAGGGGUACAAGAUAAGCACUAUCUAGACUUUUUACAUUAUCCU